AUACGAAGGGUGCAAGCGUUACUCGGAAUUACUGGGCGUAAAGCGUGCGUAGGUGGUUGUUUAAGUCUGUCGUGAAAGCCCUGGGCUCAACCUGGGAAAGGCGAUGGAAACUGGGCGACUAGAGUGUGGCAGAGGGUAGUGGAAUUCCUGGUGUAGCAGUGAGAUGCGUAGAGAUCAGGAGGAACAUCCGUGGCGAAGGCGACUGCCUGGGCCAACACUGACACUGAGGCACGAAAGCGUGGGGAGCAAACAGGAUUAGAUACCCUGGUAGUCCACGCCCUAAACGAUGCGAACUGGAUGUUGGGUGCAAUUUGGCACGCAGUAUCGAAGCUAACGCGUUAAGUUCGCCGCCUGGGGAGUACGGUCGCAAGACUGAAACUCAAAUGAAUUGACGGGG
This 397-nucleotide ribosomal RNA is filed under the name uncultured bacterium. RNAcentral describes it as "partial 16S ribosomal RNA". It matches the Rfam family "Bacterial small subunit ribosomal RNA", at positions 523 to 918 of the family's 1533-position model. The record is from RNAcentral.